RNAcentral lists this long non-coding RNA (803 nucleotides) under Equus caballus (horse). RNAcentral describes it as "lncRNA (ENSECAG00000045570.1)". Lineage: Eukaryota; Metazoa; Chordata; Mammalia; Perissodactyla; Equidae. The record is from RNAcentral.
GGAGGGCGUGUAGACAAUGUCAGCUCUCUGACUGACGGGUCCUUGUGAGGGUGAACAAAAGCCACCCAGGCACCUGCUCGUCUCCAGGUGGUGGGCAUGGCCACCAACAAAACCUGCCCCCGCGCUGCUGUCUGGGUGCUAUUUCAGGAAUGACCAGGAACUGGCUGCUCCGAUGGCAGAGCAGGGACCCACCCAGAGAUGCCGUGUCACCCCCAUGGGCAUCUUUUGGGCAAGGCUCUGUGAUGAGAUAGGAUGUGACUCAGGCUUCAAUUCUCAUAACAAAACUGUAACGUGGAAACCUCCCUCUGAGUACCUGGAACAUGGGGUUCCCCUCUCAACCAGCGACCUGCGUUCGUCCUCGAGAGCCUGGAGUCUGGAGUCAGACAGCCUGGAGCUGGACACUCACUUCUGCCACAUACCACCGGCAACGUUUAACACGUCUGUUCCUGGGUCUUUUCAUUUGUAAAACGGGUAUAUGAUAGGAUGUACCCACAGGGUGGUGAAGAUUCAGCAGCCUUCAUCGAGUAAAAAGGCGAUUCCAAAGGUCAUUGCAAGAUUACAAUCCAGACACAUGUGCUGCUCUGUGUGGGAGGAUGACUGACCGGCGCCUGGAGGAAUGAGCUGGCUUCACCCGAGGGGGACGCUUCGGGGCCAGUUGAAGGCGGUAAGACGCCUGCGACCAGCUGCAGGCGUUUGCUUGGUCCUGCCUUCUACGGAGGAAAAAGGAUUUUUUUUCAUUUAGUGUGAAAAAUACUCCAAUACCACCAGACUGUGUUAAAAUAAUCAGAUUGAUGGAAUGGAUU